AUGGCAAAGUAUUGGUGGGAUAGUUCCCUUGACAAGCAGGCUUUGCAUUGGCUGGCCUGGGACAAGCUUGCAACACCAGAAGUGAAGGGCGGGAUGGGGUUCCGUGACUUACACAAUUUUAACUUGGCUUUACUUGGGAAACACGGAUGGAGGUUCAUCACAAUUCCGAACUCCUUGUGUGCCAAGGUUAUGAAAGGAAAGUACUUCCCUGAUACAGAUUUUAUGAGUGCUAGUGUUCCUUCAUCGUCUUCAGCAAUUUGGAAAGCGAUUGUUGCAGGCAGGACACACUUGAACCCGAGCUGA
Molecule: ribosomal RNA, 303 nt
Filed under: Triticum aestivum (bread wheat)
Lineage: Eukaryota; Viridiplantae; Streptophyta; Magnoliopsida; Poales; Poaceae
Description: partial small subunit ribosomal RNA
Source: RNAcentral